GAUGAAGAACGCAGCGAAAUGUGAUACGUAAUGUGAAUUGCAGAAUUCAGUGAAUCAUCGAAUCUUUGAACGCAUAUUGCGCUCUCUGGUAUUCCGGAGAGCAUGCUUGUUUGAGUAUCAGUAAACACCUCAACUCCCUUUUCUUUUUUGAAAUUGGAGCUGGACUUGAGUGAUCCCAACGCUUUCUUCCAAGAAAGUGGCGGGUUGCUUGAAAUGCAGGUGCAGCUGAACUUUUCUCUGAGCUAUAAGCAUAUCUAUUUAGUCUGCCUAAAAAACAGAUUAUUACCUUUGCUGCAGCUAACAUAAAGGAGACUAGUUCUUGUGCUGACUGAUGCAGGAUUCACAGAGACAGCUUCGGCUGACUUUGUAAACUCGAUCUCAAAUCAAGUAAGACUACCCGCUGAACUUAAGCAUAUCAAUAAGCGGAGGA
RNAcentral lists this unclassified non-coding RNA (430 nucleotides) under soil metagenome. RNAcentral describes it as "partial contains 5.8S ribosomal RNA, internal transcribed spacer 2, and large subunit ribosomal RNA". The stretch from base 1 to 120 matches the Rfam family "5.8S ribosomal RNA", at positions 35 to 154 of the family's 154-position model. The record is from RNAcentral.